AAUUGCUGAAUUUGGCCAUUUCAGACUCAAAAUUCGCUUAUUAGCAACCAUUGCUUCAGUUAACAAUAUACAGCUAUUUCAUUUGUUAAUUCUAUUUAAUAUUUUCCUUAAACCAGAAACUGAAGCAAGGGUUGCUAAUAAAUGAAUUUUGGAAAAAAUGGUAUUAUUUGUCUGGCCUUUCUCACGUAUAAGAGUGGCCUCCCUUGAAGCCAGGUGCUCGUUGCCAGGCAAUAUUAUAGGUGGCGCCGCUGUCAACAUGUGCAUGUGAAAACGAAAGUAGAUUGUUUAUCUAGGAAUUAUUACAACAUUUUACCCUUUUACGUUGAAUUUUUAAGAUAUGAAUAUUGAGGCUAUUAUUUACUUGCCUUCAACUGGUCAGUGGUCAAAAGGGAGUAUUUCUGUAUGUCUUGAAGCAUUGAAUGCCCCAAAACAACAAGUAUGAUAAGAAGACCAGAGUAUACAGCUUCCCAAAAUGUUGAAAGAUUAAGCUGUUUUUCUAUGGACUUGUAUACUAUCUAGGCUGAAAACAGCCAUGGACAAUGAAUUUGGAGGUGCAUGCUGGAGCAUCAGAAAGUACAUACUUGGAAUAAAUAAUUGCACAAUACACAUUUACUGAGAAAUGGCUAAUGCUUAUGUUAAAGUCCAAUAUUCAUGUUUGUAACAUUUACUUGGCGGUAAUAGUUACAGUGUUGAAAGAGACUACCCGUGUUACAUUUCAAUUUAAGUUACAGUGUGGAUGCUAAUUCUAAAUUCUUGAUAAUCAAGUGUUUUUAAUAACUUAUGAAAAUAUUUAUCAAACUGUGUAAUUUAUCACAUUCCUACAUCAUUAUUUUAUAUAAAAUGCUUGUAGUUAUAUAAUAUAUGUCAGGUUAAAUGGUAAUAAAUUUUGUUUCUGUGUAAAUAUCUUGCUUUUUGAAAAAUGAAAAUGAUACAUUCAGUGGCCAUCAUCUGUCAAAAAGUUAUUAUAAAUGCAACAGAACUUAUGAAAAGUUAUGCAGUUACUUUUCACAAGUUCAUGGAAUAGCAGAAUAUACAUAACAUUGUAUAGUUUUCCUAACUUGUAUCUGGGGCCAUCAUAAAUUAAUUGCUAGAUUAAAUUUUCUUCACAAGGGGAAGGAAGUUUUUUUUAUUUAUUUUUUUAUUUCAGAUCAGAUAUUUUAUUUUGCUUUAAUGAGGAUUUAAAAUGACAUAAUUAUAAUAGUUAUUUUUGUCAAAUGGAUUUGAUUAUAAGCAAUAAUAACUGAAAGUUAAUAAUUUAUAACAUUCUUUAUAGAAAUAUUCCAUAGAUGAUCUUGGAAACUAAAAAUAGUAAGGGGAGGCAUAAAUAUAGUGGGUUGGGAGUGGAUAAUAAUUAAUAUAGUAUGGUCUUACAAAUAUAAAUCAAUAAAUACUUACCGGCAAUAAUAUUGAUAAGGUAUGAUGCAGCUAUAUGAUAAAUAUAUAUUUUUUAGAAUUGUGAUUUGUUAUGAGAAAAAAGGCUGAUAUAUACAGUCUAGAGUCUUCUAGUAAGCUGCAUAAUUAUGACUGGAACUAGCUCCAUAUUUCCUUUCUUUAACUUCAUAUAAGAUAGUCAAGUAUCACAAUUAUAUGAAUUCUAAUAUCAUUUGUGUAUUUAACUGAAAAUACAUUGCAUUCGUUUUCUAAAGUAAUAGUUAGCAUUUGGUCAUAUCUCAUUUUUGGCCUUCAAUAACUGGAAAGGGAAGGCAAUAAAUGGAAUUUAUGAUUAUACACAAAAUAUAGAGAAGACUGAAAGCAGUAACUGAUCAAUAAUAGCAGAAUGCUUUAGCUUAUGACUGUCAAAAUUCAUUGUAGUUUAGUAGAUGAUCUCUUUCUUUAAGGGGUUGGUAGGUGAAAUGUCAAUAUCACAGUGACCCUAAGACUGAAAUAUUUUAUUAUGGAAAGCUGAAUGGUAAUUUUGCCCAUGGUCAUCAGGCUUUAAAUCAUAACAGAUGAAUAAUUUGGGGUCAGUAGAUCAAAGUUAAAGGUCACUGACAAUUAGAUAAAGAGUGAUUCAGGUUAUAUAAGCUUGAGAACACUUUCACUUAUUAUGAUCAUCCAUCAUUUUAGCAUGAAUGCCUAUGUUCAGUAGAUGACCACUAUAGUGUUUGGCAAAUAGGUCAAAGUUCAAAUUCAAACCAUACUGAAAAUAAAUGCAAGUUACAUGCACAGUCACCACUGACAGGCCAUAAUGGGAGACAUAUAAUUUUGUCCUUUUUGUGCCCCCCAUGAGUGGUGGGGGCAUAUAGAUUUGCUCUUGUCCGUCCGUCCUUCCGAGAAUGUUGUGUCGCACCUAGCUCCAAAAGUAUUUGAGGUACAGUUACAAAACUUUACAGGAAUGUUGGUCAGCAUGUGUAGUUUUGCACCUGGGGUUUUGCGUCCUGAUUCAUUCAGUCGUGUAAGAGUUAUGGCCCCUGACUUUGUAAAAAAUGGUCAUUUUAAUGUUGUGUCGCACCUAGCUCCAAAUGUAUUUGACGUACAGUCACAAAACUUUACAGGAAUGUUGGUCAGCAUGUGUAAUUAUGCAUCUGGGGUUUCGUGUCUGCCGUCCGGAUUCAUUCAGUUGUGUAGGUGUUAUGGCAAAGACUUAGUAAAAAUUUGGUCAUUUUAAUGUUGUGUCGCGCGUAGCUCCAAAAGUAUUUGACCUAGAGUCACCAAAGUUUACAGGAAAAAAGAUUAAUGGCGACAUAUAUCAAUCUGUUCCGUAACGUCUGCAGUUCAUUCUAAGCCAUGCCGCCAGGGUGAAUACUGCGACUGGACCGAGUUAUGACGUCAUCAAAAUGGCGGCCAUUUUUGAAAAAAAAUAUAUAUAUAUCACCAUCUUCAAAUGAUUGAUUGUUGUUUGCUUUUGUUGCUGAAAGUGAAUUUUGUUGUAGUUUACAUUGUAUACAUACAUAAUCAUUAGCACUAUCUUAUUUUAAAUAAAAAAGCGUCAUUUAUACAAUAUUAAAGAUAUCUUGUGCCCAAAUUUCAUAUCUGAAUAUAUGAACAAUUA
This is a long non-coding RNA of Mercenaria mercenaria, 2992 nucleotides long. RefSeq lists it as uncharacterized. Lineage: Eukaryota; Metazoa; Mollusca; Bivalvia; Venerida; Veneridae. The record is from RefSeq and is a predicted model, not a curated record. The transcript is spliced from 5 exons.